Molecule: long non-coding RNA, 371 nt
Filed under: Nicotiana benthamiana
Lineage: Eukaryota; Viridiplantae; Streptophyta; Magnoliopsida; Solanales; Solanaceae
Description: long non-coding RNA (NBEN_LNC002171)
Source: RNAcentral
AAGAUCCUAAUAGAAACAAUAUAAACAUAAGAAUGUAUACUUGAAUCGGAAAAGAAACUACCUCUUUUAGGAAGAAGAUAAAAUUCGGAUGAAGCAUAUAACCUCAGUUGGUUAGAACCUCAUGCUGAUAACGUAUUAAGAAAUAAGAGCAAAAUGGAAUAAUAUAGUAAUAGACACAAGAUACAUAGGAGGAGAAUAUAGAAGUUAUCUUAUUCAAGUGUAUUUCAUGUGUGUUCUUACAUAAGUAAAAAAUAUCCUAUUUAUAAUAUACACAAGAUACACCCAAAACUUGUUAGAUAUAUCCUAAAAAUUAAUAAGUACAUCUAUCGAAGUAGUACAUUGUAGAAAAUGUAUGAAUAGAUUAAAUAAAC